RNAcentral lists this ribosomal RNA (426 nucleotides) under uncultured bacterium. RNAcentral's name for it is "bacterial SSU rRNA". It matches the Rfam family "Bacterial small subunit ribosomal RNA", at positions 354 to 796 of the family's 1533-position model. The record is from RNAcentral.
GUGGGGAAUAUUGCGCAAUGGGCGAAAGCCUGACGCAGCGACGCCGCGUGGGGGAUGACGGCCUUCGGGUUGUAAACCUCUUUCAGCAGGGACGAAGUUGACGUGUACCUGCAGAAGAAGCGCCGGCUAACUACGUGCCAGCAGCCGCGGUAAUACGUAGGGCGCAAGCGUUGUCCGGAAUUAUUGGGCGUAAAGAGCUCGUAGGUGGCUUGUCACGUCGGGUGUGAAAGCUUGGGGCUUAACUCCAGGUCUGCAUUCGAUACGGGCUGGCUAGAGGUAGGUAGGGGAGAACGGAAUUCCUGGUGUAGCGGUGAAAUGCGCAGAUAUCAGGAGGAACACCGGUGGCGAAGGCGGUUCUCUGGGCCUUACCUGACGCUGAGGAGCGAAAGCGUGGGGAGCGAACAGGAUUAGAAACCCGGGUAGUCC